GACGAACGCUGGCGGCGUGCUUAACACAUGCAAGUCGAACGGAAAGGCCCUGCUUUUGUGGGGUGCUCGAGUGGCGAACGGGUGAGUAACACGUGAGUAACCUGCCCUUUACUUUGGGAUAACUUCAGGAAACUGGGGCUAAUACCGGAUAGGAGCUCCUGCUGCAUGGUGGGGGUUGGAAAGUUUCGGCGGGUGGGGAUGGACUCGCGGCUUAUCAGCUUGUUGGUGGGGUAGUGGCUUACCAAGGCUUUGACGGGUAGCCGGCCUGAGAGGGUGACCGGCCACAUUGGGACGGAGAGACGGCCCAGACGCCUACGGGAGGCAGCAGUGGGGAAUAUUGCACAAUGGGCGGAAGCCUGAUGCAGCAACGCCGCGUGCGGGAUGACGGCCUUCGGGUUGUAAACCGCUUUCGCCUGUGACGAAGCGUGAGUGACGGUAAUGGGUAAAGAAGCACCGGCUAACUACGUG
RNAcentral lists this ribosomal RNA (468 nucleotides) under uncultured bacterium. RNAcentral's name for it is "partial 16S ribosomal RNA". It matches the Rfam family "Bacterial small subunit ribosomal RNA", at positions 28 to 507 of the family's 1533-position model. The record is from RNAcentral.